RNAcentral lists this ribosomal RNA (497 nucleotides) under uncultured bacterium. RNAcentral describes it as "partial 16S ribosomal RNA". It matches the Rfam family "Bacterial small subunit ribosomal RNA", at positions 28 to 507 of the family's 1533-position model. The record is from RNAcentral.
GAUGAACGCUGGCGGCGUGCCUAAUACAUGCAAGUCGAGCGAACAGACGAGGAGCUUGCUCCUCUGACGUUAGCGGCGGACGGGUGAGUAACAUGUGGAUAACCUACCUAUAAGACUGGGAUAACUUCGGGAAACCGGAGCUAAUACCGGAUAAUAUAUUGAACCGCAUGGUUCAAUAGUGAAAGACGGUUUUGCUGUCACUUAUAGAUGGAUCCGCGCCGCAUUAGCUAGUUGGUAAGGUAACGGCUUACCAAGGCAACGAUGCGUAGCCGACCUGAGAGGGUGAUCGGCCACACUGGAACUGAGACACGGUCCAGACUCCUGCGGGAGGCAGCAGUAGGGAAUCUUCCGCAAUGGGCGAAAGCCUGACGGAGCAACGCCGCGUGAGUGAUGAAGGUCUUCGGAUCGUAAAACUCUGUUAUUAGGGAAGAACAAAUGUGUAAGUAACUAUGCACGUCUUGACGGUACCUAGUCAGAAAGCCACGGCUAACUACGUG